UGGCACAGGAAGGCCCCCACACACAUGAGA
RNAcentral lists this non-coding RNA (30 nucleotides) under Macaca fascicularis (crab-eating macaque). RNAcentral also lists the same sequence under 1 other name. The record is from RNAcentral. Lineage: Eukaryota; Metazoa; Chordata; Mammalia; Primates; Cercopithecidae.